GGCCUCGUGGUCUAGUGUAUGAUUCCGCUUCGGGUGCGAGAGGUCCCGGGUUCGAUUUCCCGGUGAGGCCC
RNAcentral lists this transfer RNA (71 nucleotides) under Phytophthora infestans (potato late blight agent). Its description in RNAcentral is "tRNA-Pro". Lineage: Eukaryota; Oomycota; Peronosporomycetes; Peronosporales; Peronosporaceae. The record is from RNAcentral.